This 1443-nucleotide ribosomal RNA is filed under the name Cerophagus nearcticus. RNAcentral describes it as "eukaryotic LSU rRNA". It matches the Rfam family "Eukaryotic large subunit ribosomal RNA", at positions 73 to 1269 of the family's 3401-position model. Lineage: Eukaryota; Metazoa; Arthropoda; Arachnida; Sarcoptiformes; Gaudiellidae. The record is from RNAcentral.
GAUUCCCUUAGUAACGGCGAGUGAACCGGGAAGAGCCCAGCGCCAAGUCCUGACGCGUGAUGUGUUCAGGAGAUGCGGCGUUAGUGCGUUAGCGCAUCGCACACCGUCUUGUGUCUCAAGUUCCCUUGACAGGGGCUGCCAGAGUGGGUGCUAGUCCCAUGGAGACUGCGAGACUGGUGUGCGCAGGCUAGCGCUCGUUCGAGUCAGGUUGCUUGAGAGUGCAGCUUAAAGUAGGUGGUAAACUCCAUCUAAGGCUAAAUAUCACAGCGAGACCGAUAGCAAACAAGUACCGUGAGGGAAAGUUGCAAAGAACUUUGAAGAGAGAGUUCAAUAGGACGUGAAACCACUGACAGGCAAACGGGUGGAACCACGAAGUGUGCCCGGGAGGCGAUUCAGUUGCGCCUGUUGGCUGGCACAACGCUUGAUGGGCCGUUUUUUCGGUCGUCUGCGUUGGGUAUUUAGCUGGCAGGUGUAAUGCAUUUUGUCAUUCCGGUGCUAAAGCCACGUCCGAUUGGGUGGCUGGAGCGGCCGUAGCGAGUGGUCGGAGGAAGGUGGCCGUUGUGCGCUUACGCGCUUAGCGGUGUUAUAGCCUCCGRCCCGAGCCGUUUCCUAGCGUGCCGAUCGGUGYAAGUACUCCGAUUGGAGUUUUGCCAGUAAAGGGUUGGUGUGCCUGUGCUGCCACGGCAGCGGCGUCAGUUUGGCCUUUCGCGCCUUCGGGUGUGCAAAGACAGGUUGGCGUCCGCGGUCUUGGUGGUGCUUGCAUGGCCUGCCUGAGCAAACGGUGGUGCGAGUAGGUCGGUGUCCACCCGACCCGUCUUGAAACACGGACCAAGGAGCCUAACAUGUACGCGAGUCGCUCGGUCUUGUAUAGGCCCGGGAGGCGAAAUGAAAGUAAUGCCGCGAGGCUUUUUUUAGCCGCAGCGGCUGCCCGCCUAUUUCAUUAAUCGGUGAUAUGGCGGAGCGGGAGCGUACACGUUGGUACCCGAAAGAUGGUGAACUAUGCCUGGGCAAGAUGAAGCCAGAGGAAACUCUGGUGGAGGUCUGUAGCGAUUCUGACGUGCAAAUCGAUCGUCAGACCUGGGUAUAGGGGCGAAAGACUAAUCGAACCAUCUAGUAGCUGGUUCCCUCCGAAGUUUCCCCCAGGAUAGCAGGCGCUUGUUUGACGCAGUCUCAUCCGGUAAAGCGAAUGAUUAGAGGUCUUGGGACCGAAACGGUCUCAACCUAUUCUCAAACUUUAAAUGGGUGAGAUGCCUGACUUGCUUGAUUUUGUGAAGUCAGGCAAUUGGAUGUGAGUGCCUAGUGGGCCAGCUUUGGUAAGCAGAACUGGCGCUGUGGGAUGAACCAAACGUGGAGUUAAGGCAUCAAAUGCGUACGCUCAUGAGAUCCCAUAAAAGGUGUUGGUUGCUAUAGACAGCAGGACGGUGGCCAUGGAAGUCGGAAUCC